UGGCCCAUCUCCAGCUUGGACUGCCAGAGGAAAUGUCCGCGUUUUUCAGUGCACAAAACCAUUAUCCGAAUAUUGAAUACUGAAUUUCACUUAACUGAAAGGCUUGAAAAUAGGUCAGAAACAGACCAACAGGGGACGCCGUUUGCCAUUGCAGCCUCAAGUCACGUUAUUACUCGUCUUCCGCUACAUGCUCGCGCUAAACUAAUUUACAGGUUUAAACGACGUAGGUUGACGAUCAUCUUCAUCAUCAUUAUUAAGGGCACUCUACUUUUAUUGUAUGGAAAAGAGCAGCAUGAACACCCUGCUAAAUAUCUCCUGUUGACUUCCUUUCAUAUACAGAACUAUAAGAGGUUGUCUUCCCAUCCUGUUCUCUCCUCCCAGUCACUCACCCUGUUAUCGUUGGAAGCACCAGGCCUGUUUUUGUGACCAACAGAGUCGGAUGGAAUUUUGGCGGCUGUUCACUCCAAACACACAAGGCCUUGGCGCAUGUAAUUAAUGCUCAGCAAACACCAUCCAGAAAAGAGAAAGCACAGAGCGGCGCAAGGCCGGGUGAGAGAGGAGGAGCAGGGAGGUUAGCUCCCAGAUGGUUGACUUGUCUUUCAUCAUUUUCCCUUUUAUUUUGGAAAUCCCUUUUGUCGUGACAAACAAUGGGCAGAAAGGACAUGUGUGCAUGUGACAUUAGAGUUGCUUUGCUGUCCUCGUAAGUUACGCAGACCGUCUGCUAGUGACUCACUUCGUCAGAGAAUUCAGGGCUUCCAGAUGUUCUGUGUCAAAGGUGUCCACAGGCUUGACGGGCUGCGGCCACUUUUCGUUGUGCAGACACUUCAAAGCAUUCUUCUUCCACCUGAGAUGGACAGCAUAUGCCGCUAUCAACCCUGAGCGAUAUGUAAAAUUUGAGGAUGGAAGCAGAAUAAAGCUCGAAAGAGAGAUGAUACUCUUUUAAUGCUAUUUUAAAGAGAUCGACUGAUAUUGAGGGGUUUUUACUUCUGAUUUUGACACAAUGAUGACAACAGUACUGAACUGCACAAUAAUUUUUAUUUAUAGCACUGUCAGUACUGUAAUUUCACUCCCUCCUUGCAAACAAAACAACCUUCAUUUCUAAAACUACAUAGAGGGGUUUAUAACUGAAAGAAAAUUUUAAAUAAUAAUAAUAAUAAUAAUAAUAAUAAUAAUAAUAAUAAUAAUAUCAUAUAAUAUCAUAUAUCCCCUGAAAAUGUUAACAUCUAACCUGGACUAGCAUCAUGUUACUUUAAUGGUACUUUUGCAACAUGUGGUUUGCACUGAAUUUUAAGAAAAAAUAUUAUUAUACUGUUUGGCUUUAGUCACAAAAAAAAUUACUUUCUUUAAGGGCUUUACUUUUAGUAAACUUUUACUUUUACUACUGUCUGAAAUAUCAUUACAAACAGAUCAAAAUAUGCAAAUUAAAGCACCUUUGCCUUUUAGCCUGUUGUUGCCUGAAACACUUAGGAAUUCAGUGCUGUCUUAAUCAAUCAACAUGUAAUAGCUGGAAGGACAAAAUGAGAGGCCUGACUGACCUUGCUGACCUGUAGUCAUUGAACCAUGUAUCACAGAACUGGAAAUGAGUCAAGCGUAUUAGCAUAAUCAAAUGAGAAUCUUUCUUUAUUAUGAUAAGUAAUUGAAUAAUUACUUCUUUCAUUCUUACUUUGAGCCAAUUGACCCCCAUUAACAUUGACUCUUGAGACAGUAAGAGUCAUUUUUAUCUCACUGACAAUGGGCUUGACUAAUCCUGCAAUUACAACAAUGUUAAUCACUCACAUGCUCUCUCUCUCUCACACACACACACACACACACACACACACACACAGGCAAACACAUUGAGAGGAAGUGGAUGUUGACAAGCUCUCUCAGCCUCUGACAUUUAAACAAACUCUCAAAGCACUGUUCACACGUCCACACACACACACACAAACACACACAAAGACAGAUGCCACUUGCAUAAAAGCACCAUGACAUAUUAAUCAAAGCACUUUAAAAAGAAGAUUAUAUUAAAUGUAUUAGAAUAUUAAAGAUAUUAUUAAAAAACAAAACAAACAACAAAAAAAAUAAAAAAUAAAACAACAGCCUUUUCUGCCCCUUUUCAGUGUGCUGAAGAACAUGAUCAUCAGGUUUAACAGAAACCUUUGGAGCUCAUGCUCAUAUUUUCACUCAAAUUGUUAUUAUGGUAAUAUGAUUUGUCUUGGGGGGAAAAUAAGUCUUAAAUUAGAAAAAUGCUAAAUAGAAGCAUUUUCACUAGUUGACUUUUGUGCCCCAGUGUCUGUCACGUACAUAAAAAUUAAUAAAUAAGCUUUAUAAAUGUGUGGGAGGUACACAACAGAUGUUUCUACCGAACUCAAAACAGAAAUGCACUGAUGUAUGUGGUGUAAGAGAUUUUUGUCUCCAUUCUUCAGGGAGAGGCUUCUUCUCCAUCUCAAUUAAUACUGGAGAGCCUGAGAAGCGGUGUUUUGAGAGGCAGACAUCUUUAUUCAUGUGUGCAUCAUUGUGAUUGGCGUGGCCUCCAGACAUGAUUUCUCCCUGCUCAGGAAGCCACCCAGAUGUUAUUGAUAUUCACAAAUGUCUGAAAUUUGCAUCUGAAUGCUUUCCCUAACCAGACCGACUUUAGGACAUGACCGAGAGCCGUGGCAUUA
This is a long non-coding RNA of Cyprinus carpio carpio, 2645 nucleotides long. Lineage: Eukaryota; Metazoa; Chordata; Actinopteri; Cypriniformes; Cyprinidae. The record is from Ensembl.